This 253-nucleotide ribosomal RNA is filed under the name uncultured bacterium. Its description in RNAcentral is "partial 16S ribosomal RNA". It matches the Rfam family "Bacterial small subunit ribosomal RNA", at positions 524 to 776 of the family's 1533-position model. The record is from RNAcentral.
UACGUAGGUGGCAAGCGUUGUUCGGAAUUAUUGGGCGUAAAGGGCGCGUAGGCGGUUUGUUAAGUCAGCUGUGAAAGCCCGGGGCUCAACCCCGGAGGGUCGGCUGAUACUGGCAGGCUAGAGUACGGAAGAGGUAGCUGGAAUUCCCGGUGUAGCGGUGAAAUGCGUAGAUAUCGGAAGGAACAUCAGUGGCGAAAGCGACUUCCUGGACCAGUACCGACGUUCAGGCACGAAAGCGUGGGGAGCAAACAGG